GAUGAACGCUGGCGGCGUGCCUAAUACAUGCAAGUCGAGCGAACAGACGAGGAGCUUGCUCCUCUGACGUUAGCGGCGGACGGGUGAGUAACACGUGGAUAACCUACCUAUAAGACUGGGAUAACUUCGGGAAACCGGAGCUAAUACCGGAUAAUAUAUUGAACCGCAUGGUUCAAUAGUGAAAGACGGUUUUGCUGUCACUUAUAGAUGGAUCCGCGCCGCAUUAGCUAGUUGGUAAGGUAACGGCUUACCAAUGCGACGAUGCGUAGCCGACCUGAGAGGGUGAUCGGCCACACUGGAACUGAGACACGGUCCAGACUCCUACGGGAGGCAGCAGUAGGGAAUCUUCCGCAAAGGGCGAAAGCCUGACGGAGCAACGCCGCGUGAGUGAUGAAGGUCUUCGGAUCGUAAAACUCUGUUAUUAGGGAAGAACAAAUGUGUAAGUAACUAUGCACGUCUUGACGGUACCUAAUCAGAAAGCCACGGCUAACUACGUG
Molecule: ribosomal RNA, 497 nt
Filed under: uncultured bacterium
Lineage: Bacteria
Description: partial 16S ribosomal RNA
Rfam family: Bacterial small subunit ribosomal RNA
Source: RNAcentral